CCUACGGGAGGCAGCAGUGAGGAAUAUUGGUCAAUGGGCGCGAGCCUGAACCCGCCAAGUAGCGUGAAGGAUGACUGCCCUACGGGUUGUACACUUCUUUUAUAGAGGAAUAAAGUGCGGCACGUGUGCCAUUUUGUAUGUACAUUAUGAAUAAGGAUCGGCUAACUCCGUUCACGAAGCAGACGUAAUACGGAGGUUCCGAGCGUGAUCCGGAUUUAUUGGGUUUAAAGGGAGCUAAGAUGGGUUGUGAAGUCAGUUGUGAAAGUUGGCGGCUAAACCGUAAAAUGGAAAUGGUUACUGGCAGCCUGGAGUACAUGUGAGGUAGGCGGAAGUCGUGGUGUAGCGGUGAAAUGCUUAGAUAUCACGAAGAAGUCCGAUUGCGAAGGCAGCUUACUAACCUGCCACUGACAUUGAUGCUCGAAAGUGUGGGUAUCAAACAGGAUUAGAUACCCCAGUAGUC
This 460-nucleotide ribosomal RNA is filed under the name uncultured bacterium. RNAcentral describes it as "partial 16S ribosomal RNA". It matches the Rfam family "Bacterial small subunit ribosomal RNA", at positions 338 to 795 of the family's 1533-position model. The record is from RNAcentral.